This 579-nucleotide long non-coding RNA is filed under the name Buteo japonicus. RNAcentral describes it as "lncRNA (ENSBJAG00000002933.1)". Lineage: Eukaryota; Metazoa; Chordata; Aves; Accipitriformes; Accipitridae. The record is from RNAcentral.
AUGACGCUCAUCAAAGGAAUUAAGGCCCUUCUGGCGUGUAACGGCACCCCGAGCCCAGAGCCGCUGCUCUUUGGCUUGCUGCAGAGCGCCGGGUGGGGGGCGAGGGGCUGUGCCUCCCCCGGUGCUGAAAUCGCCCUCCUGGGGCACAGGGUCAGCCCGGUUGUUUGGGGCUGGGUACUGGGAAUGGGGUCCUCAGCCUCUCUGUGUCCAUCUGCUCAGGGUGAAGACAGCGGUGAUGAGGAAGGAGGAGAGCGUGAGCAGCCUUCGGAAGCAGUACGAAGUGGCUAUGCAGAGAGCCGACCGCCUGGAAGCCCUCCUGGAGCAACAGCGAAAGCAGCUGCUGGCCACCAAGUGACCACCCUGCUGUGCAGGGCUGGGGGUGCUCCGGGGCCCCCGCUGGACCUGUGCUCGGGGGGAGCGGACACCCGUGCGCAUGGGGCUGGGGUCCUGCCCUCCCUUCCCUCCCUCUACCCUCGUUUUUUACAACCCGGUCCCCGUGCCGCGGCCGUGUGCCCUGCCGGAACACUCGGCAGCCUUCAGGUGUUUGGUGGUUGUGUUUUAACAAUAAAUCUGCGCUGG